This 73-nucleotide transfer RNA is filed under the name Marmota monax (woodchuck). Its description in RNAcentral is "tRNA.Thr". Lineage: Eukaryota; Metazoa; Chordata; Mammalia; Rodentia; Sciuridae. The record is from RNAcentral.
GGGGAUUUAUCUCAGUGGUAGAAGGCUGUCCUAGUGUGUGCAAAGGCCCUGGGUUCAAACCCCAGUACCCUCC